This 380-nucleotide long non-coding RNA is filed under the name Gossypium raimondii (Peruvian cotton). Its description in RNAcentral is "long non-coding RNA (GRAI_LNC007743)". The record is from RNAcentral. Lineage: Eukaryota; Viridiplantae; Streptophyta; Magnoliopsida; Malvales; Malvaceae.
CGAUUUGCUUCCUUGUUUCUUUGUUUUUCUUUUCUGCCGAUUUUCUCCCAGUUUAUUUUCUUUUCUUUUCUGCCGAUUUGCUCCCCCCGUUUCUUUUCUUUUCUUUUUCGGCCGAUUUGCUCAGUUUCUGCCGAUUUGCGUCAUCGGUUAGUUUUCCUAACCUGAUAGAAUAAUAUCCUUUUCUAUUGUAGAUGAAAACAAUAUACUUUCGAGGUAAACCUUUUCUAUUGUUUUUAUCUAAUUGGUUUCCCCUUUUCUCAUUACAGGUUCUUCUUCAUCGCACUCUACCCUGACCUGCUCAUUACAGGUUUACAUGACAUCACAAGUUAGCCCGAUAAUUUUAUUUCCUUUUCUAUUGUUUUUAUCUAAUCGGUUUCCCC